CUGUGUUUUAACACUGUUACAUUGUUUGGUCGUGCAACUUGUCUUUUGCCAGCGCUUCGCUCCUCUUCAGCUCCACCGUCGUAUUCAAACAUGGUCACCUCCGUCUCCAGGCAGCUAAUGAGUUAGCCACAUGCUAAAUAAGCAUUUGCUAACCUCUGCUCCUCUCCAGCUCCUCCUCCAGCAUUAUAUUGAACAUCUCCUGCACAAAGUUGUUCUCAUGUAGCGCUCCUCCUCAGCUCCACCCUCUCCUCAAGUCACCUGUGGCUCCAGCGUCUCUUUGAUUCAUUCCCUCAGCGGACAGGUGGGAUCUAAAAAAGGAACAGGAGGUGAAAUCUAAAGAAGAGCCCUGAACAACAGAACAGAGGAGACAGGAAGCAGCACAGAGGACACAGACAGGAUGAGGUUGAAUGAACAGACCGACAACGAGAGAGAAGAAGAAAAGACGAGAGACAAGUGUCAAUGCUGAGACCUCAAAGCAAACAGAGGAGUCCAUUUAAAGAGGAGACGGACGAGUUUGGAGACAACAAGAGGUCGGCACAACAUUUAGAAUCAGCUGCAUAAACAGUUUGCAAAUCAAAUCUGAAUAAAUAUAGAUCCAUGAAUAAUCUUUUCUGUCAACUGUUGGUAUUUUCUCUUUAUUUUGAUGUAGGGGUCAUUUAUAUAUCCUUAAUAAUAUCACCUUGUUAAGGAAAAAAACAGGUUUUCUCAAAAAUGUUUAAUAUCCUGACUCUGAAUUAUUUAAUUUUAAGUUGAUGUUUUGCUGCUGUUAU
This is a long non-coding RNA of Labrus mixtus (cuckoo wrasse), 770 nucleotides long. RefSeq lists it as uncharacterized. The record is from RefSeq and is a predicted model, not a curated record. The transcript is spliced from 5 exons. Lineage: Eukaryota; Metazoa; Chordata; Actinopteri; Labriformes; Labridae.